RNAcentral lists this ribosomal RNA (467 nucleotides) under uncultured bacterium. RNAcentral describes it as "partial 16S ribosomal RNA". It matches the Rfam family "Bacterial small subunit ribosomal RNA", at positions 28 to 507 of the family's 1533-position model. The record is from RNAcentral.
GAUGAACGCUGGCGGCGCGCCUAACACAUGCAAGUCGAACGAUUAAAGCACCUUCGGGUGUGUAUAAAGUGGCGAACGGCUGAGUAACACGUGGGCAACCUGCCCCUCUCAUUGGGAGAGCCACGGGAAACCGUGGAUAAUACCGAAUACUUCGGGACUUCCGCAUGGAAGACCCGAGAAAGCUCCGGCGGAGAGGGAUGGGCCCGCGGCCUGUUAGCUUGUUGGUGGGGUAGUGGCCUACCAAGGCAAUGAUGGGUAGCUGGGUUGAGAGACCGACCGGCCAGAUUGGGACUGAGACACGGCCCAGACUCCUACGGGAGGCAGCAGUGGGGAAUCUUGCACAAUGGGCGAAAGCCUGAUGCAGCGACGCCGCGUGCGGGAUGAAGGCCUUCGGGUUGUAAACCGCUUUCAGCAGGGACGAGGCGAAAGUGACGGUACCUGCAGAAGAAGCCCCGGCUAACUACGUG